CCUACGGGAGGCAGCAGUGAGGAAUAUUGGUCAAUGGGCGAGAGCCUGAACCAGCCAAGUCGCGUGAGGGAGUACUGCCCUAUGGGUUGUAAACCUCUUUUGUCGGGGAGCAAAAGCCGGACGUGUCCGGCUGUGAGAGUACCCGAAGAAAAAGCAUCGGCUAACUCCGUGCCAGCAGCCGCGGUAAUACGGAGGAUGCGAGCGGUAUCCGGAUUUAUUGGGGUUAAAGGGUGCGCAGGCGGAUUUUUAAGUCAGCGGUCAAAUCGUGGGGCUCAACCCCAUCCAGCCGUUGAAACUGGGGAUCUAGAGUGUGCGAGAGGUAUGCGGAAUGCGUGGUGUAGCGGUGAAAUGCAUAGAUAUCACGCAGAACCCCGAUUGCGAAGGCAGCAUACCGGUGCACAACUGACGCUCAGGCACGAAAGCGUGGGUAUCGAACAGGAUUAGAUACCCCUGUAGUC
This 458-nucleotide ribosomal RNA is filed under the name uncultured bacterium. RNAcentral describes it as "partial 16S ribosomal RNA". It matches the Rfam family "Bacterial small subunit ribosomal RNA", at positions 338 to 795 of the family's 1533-position model. The record is from RNAcentral.